AGUUAAGGUCUAGAGGUCUCACUCUCCCCUGAAAAUAUCAAAUCGAGCUGUGAGUUUGGGGGAAAGGAAAAUAUCUUUAUCUCUCUGUUGUACUCCACUUUGUGCACACACUGAGAUAAGUUUAGGGUGGACAACAAAGGGUCUCGUGCUCCAGUUCCUGCUGCAGAAAAUAUCAACUUUGGAUCCACUAGUGCCUGUAUUCAGAGUUCUUAUCUGGCCCUUUUCCCUGUCUAUGUUACUGGACUAAGUUCAGUGUCUAGGAAAGCCAGUGUCCUGCGUGGUAUGUGGAUUUGGGAGCCACGUUUGUGAGUCCCUGCUGUGUUGUCACCCUUGGAACCCUUCUCCACCAGUCUAGCUGAACUCGAGGACAUCUGCCCUAUCCUGGUUGCUUUAGCGCCUGGAUCAGGGAAUCCUCUUCCCUGUCCUUGAGCUCUAGCCCUGGUUUCUUUGCAUGUGUGGGGGUGGUCUUCGUGCCUUCAGGGAUCCUCGACGGGGUUUUCAGCCGCGUUGUGCUCGUCCCAUAAUCUCCAGAGAGCUCCCAAAAUAAAGAGUGAAGAUUCAAGAUGAAGUGGUUGCUAAAGAGGAGUCUACUCCAAUGCCUGCUUAUCAAGUGGAUGGAGCUAUCUAACUAAAGGUUGGGUAGAAGGAUUUUGGGAUCUUCUCCUGCAACAAGGCAAGCCCCGGUGCAUUUGCCACCCUCCUUGUAUUUACAAAAUUUUAUCA
Zea mays is the source of this 723-nucleotide long non-coding RNA. RefSeq lists it as uncharacterized. The record is from RefSeq and is a predicted model, not a curated record. NCBI's taxonomy places the organism in Eukaryota, Viridiplantae, Streptophyta, Magnoliopsida, Poales, Poaceae. The transcript is spliced from 3 exons.